CAGAGGUGGUUGAAACUCCAGGGAGAAAGGGAGUGCCUGCUCAACCCCCCUCGCCUGAAGGAUUCUUCUUUUACUUCUUUUUUGUUUUGUUUUGUUUUUUUGAGGAAGAUUAGCCCUGACCUAACUACUGCCAGUCCUCCUCUUUUUUUUGCUGAGGAAGCCUGGCCCUGAGCUAGCAUCCAUGCCCAUCUUCCUCUACUUUAUAUGUGGGAUGCCUGCCACAGCAUGGCUUGCCAAGCAGUGCCGUGUCUGCACCUGGGAUCUGGGCCGCCGAACCCCGGGCCGCCAAAGUGGAACAUGCGCACUUAACCACCGUGCCACUGGGCUGGCCCCUCUUCUUUUACUUCUGAAACCCGACUCUUCUGCUGCUGAUCUUAUAAAGGACCCAUCACUUCUUGGAUCAGAAUCAUCAUAUCCGGGCUUCUUCAAGAACAAUGCUGACUGCUUGCCUCACAUCUGGUUGACUGCUGACGAGUCCUCCUUCUGUGUCCACCCACUGUCCAGGCAUGGCUUGCCAAGCGGUGUUUACGUUCGCAUCCGGGAUCCAACCGGCGAACCCUAGGCUGCCAAAGUGGAAG
This 578-nucleotide long non-coding RNA is filed under the name Equus caballus (horse). RNAcentral describes it as "lncRNA (ENSECAG00000047227.1)". The record is from RNAcentral. Lineage: Eukaryota; Metazoa; Chordata; Mammalia; Perissodactyla; Equidae.